This 460-nucleotide ribosomal RNA is filed under the name uncultured bacterium. RNAcentral describes it as "partial 16S ribosomal RNA". It matches the Rfam family "Bacterial small subunit ribosomal RNA", at positions 338 to 795 of the family's 1533-position model. The record is from RNAcentral.
CCUACGGGUGACAGCAGUGAGGAAUAUUGGUCAAUGGACGCAAGUCUGAACCAGCCAAGCCGCGUGCAGGAUGACGGUCCAAUGAGUUGUAAACCUCUUUUGUCAGGGGGCAAAAUCUGGUACGCGUCCCCUGUUGAAUGUACCUUACGAAAAAGGAUCGGCUAACUCCGUGCCAGCAGCCGCGGUAAUACGGAGGAUCCAAGCGUUAUCCGGAUUUAUUGGGUUUAAAGGGGGCGCAGGCGGUUUUUUAAGUUAGCGGUGAAAAUCCGGGGCUCAACCCCGGCCCAGCCGCUGAAACUGGAAGACUAGAGUAGGAGAGCGGUAGGCGGAAUGUGUGGUGUAGCGGUGAAAUGCGUAGAGAUCGCGCAGAACACCGAUUGCGAAGGCAGCAUGCCGGACUAAAACUGACGUUGAGGCACGAAAGCGUGGGGAGCGAACAGGAUUAGAUACCCUUGUAGUC